AUUGAACGCUGGCGGCAUGCCUUACACAUGCAAGUCGAACGGCAGCACGGGAGCAAUCCUGGUGGCGAGUGGCGAACGGGUGAGUAAUAUAUCGGAACGUGCCCAGUCGUGGGGGAUAACGUAGCGAAAGCUACGCCAAUACCGCAUACGAUCUAUGGAUGAAAGCGGGGGAUCGCAAGACCUCGCGCGAUUGGAGCGGCCGAUAUCAGAUUAGGUAGUUGGUGAGGUAAAGGCUCACCAAGCCGACGAUCUGUAGCUGGUCUGAGAGGACGACCAGCCACACUGGGACUGAGACACGGCCCAGACUCCUACGGGAGGCAGCAGUGGGGAAUUUUGGACAAUGGGCGCAAGCCUGAUCCAGCAAUGCCGCGUGCAGGAUGAAGGCCUUCGGGUUGUAAACUGCUUUUGUACGGAACGAAACGGCUCUUUCUAUAAAGAGGGCUAAUGACGGUACCGUAAGAAUAAGCACCGGCUAACUACGUGCCAGCCGCCGCCGUAA
This 499-nucleotide ribosomal RNA is filed under the name uncultured bacterium. RNAcentral's name for it is "partial 16S ribosomal RNA". It matches the Rfam family "Bacterial small subunit ribosomal RNA", at positions 30 to 523 of the family's 1533-position model. The record is from RNAcentral.